This 25-nucleotide unclassified non-coding RNA is filed under the name Mus musculus (house mouse). RNAcentral describes it as "oocyte_clustered_small_RNA11675". The record is from RNAcentral. Lineage: Eukaryota; Metazoa; Chordata; Mammalia; Rodentia; Muridae.
AAAAGACAGGAGCUGAUGCAGAGGC